AUUAAACUUAUUUCUCAUUAAUUUGAAAUUUCCAACCAUUCUAGUAUUCUUUUAAAAGCAACUUUAUUAUACUCUAAAUAAAAAUCUAAUGGCGUUUAAUUUGAAAUAAACUAUAACAAUUUCAUAGUUAUUUAAAAGACAACUCCCCCACACCCCAAUUAAUAGUAUAUAUUACAUUGAUUAGGUUUCUUUCCCUAUAUAUCUGCUAUAUAUAUUGACCAAUGCCAAUAAGUAAACAAAUUACACUUUGAUUCGCUAUUAUACAGACACUUAAAGUACAUUACCAUUUACCAUUAGAUCUUUCUUUAUUUACCAAAAAGUUAACUAAACGUGUCUUGUGAAACGUCGACUCUUAGUUUUUGGUUUCUUCUUUUUCGAUUACAGACAAAUUUUGAUUUUGUUUGUUCUCAUCAAACACAAAAUCUCCAUUCAAGGUAGUUCUAUUCUACGUUUUAUUUCUCUUUUAUUAGAUUUUUAUUUUGUUUCUCUUAUUCUAGUUUAAUUCUCUUAUUUUACUUUAAGUUUAGAACAUUGUUUUUGUGUAGUUUUUUUUAUACCAAAUCUCUGGUCCUCCGUGUGAAGGCUGCAGCUGUGCUGGCAUUUUGUGCCAACCUCGAUUUCCAGGGUUUCGACUUGCUCCGAGGAAAAGAAGUGAGAAUAAAAAAGAAUUGCUAAAACAUUUGUUG
Molecule: long non-coding RNA, 686 nt
Organism: Arabidopsis lyrata subsp. lyrata
Lineage: Eukaryota; Viridiplantae; Streptophyta; Magnoliopsida; Brassicales; Brassicaceae
Exons: 3
Source: RefSeq, a predicted model, not a curated record